This 256-nucleotide ribosomal RNA is filed under the name uncultured bacterium. RNAcentral describes it as "partial 16S ribosomal RNA". It matches the Rfam family "Bacterial small subunit ribosomal RNA", at positions 524 to 776 of the family's 1533-position model. The record is from RNAcentral.
UACGGAGGGUGCAAGCGUUAUCCGGAUUUACUGGGUUUAAAGGGUGCGUAGGCGGAUAGGUAAGUCAGGGGUGAAAUCUUCGAGCUUAACUCGGAAAUUGCCUUUGAUACUAUCUAUCUUGAAUAUUGUGGAGGUAAGCGGAAUAUGUCAUGUAGCGGUGAAAUGUUUAGAUAUGACAUAGAACACCUAUUGCGAAGGCAGCUUACUACGCAUAUAUUGACGCUGAGGCACGAAAAGCGUGGGGGAUCAAAACAGG